CCCUAGAUGUUCUGGGCCGCACGCGCGCUACACUGAACAGUUCAACAAGUCUUAACCUUGGCCGAUAGGUCUGGGUAAUCUUUGAACGCUGUUCGUGAUUGGGAUAGACCUUUGCAAUUAUGGGUCUUCAACGAGGAAUUCCUAGUAAACGCAAGUCAUCAGCUUGCAUUGAUUACGUCCCUGCCCUUUGUACACACCGCCCGUCGCACCUACCGAUUGAAUGGUCCGGUGAAAUCUCGGGACGGCGGCUUGGUCGCUUGCGUCCGACUGCUGAAACUUGAUUAAACCAUAUCAUUUAGAGGAAGGUGAAGUCGUANCA
RNAcentral lists this ribosomal RNA (319 nucleotides) under uncultured eukaryote. RNAcentral's name for it is "partial 18S ribosomal RNA". It matches the Rfam family "Eukaryotic small subunit ribosomal RNA", at positions 1471 to 1796 of the family's 1831-position model. The record is from RNAcentral.